Molecule: ribosomal RNA, 379 nt
Filed under: uncultured eukaryote
Lineage: Eukaryota
Description: partial 18S ribosomal RNA
Rfam family: Eukaryotic small subunit ribosomal RNA
Source: RNAcentral
CAAUAGCGUAUAUUAAAGUUGUUGCAGUUAGAACGCUCGUAGUCGGAUUUCGGGGCGGGCCGACCGGUCUGCCGAUGGGUAUGCACUGGUCGGCGCGUCCUUCCUUCCGGAGACCGUCCCUACUCUUAACUGAACGGGGGCGGGAGACGGGACUUUUACUUUGAAAAAAUCAGAGUGUUUCAAGCAGGCAGCUCGCUCUUGCAUGGAUUAGCAUGGGAUAAUGAAAUAGGACUUUGGUGCUAUUUUGUUGGUUUCGAACACCGAAGUAAUGAUGAGAAGGGACAGUCAGGGGCACUCGUAUUCCGCCGAGAGAGGUGAAAUUCUCAGACCAGCGGAAGACGAACCACUGCGAAAGCAUUUGCCAGGGAUGUUUUCACUG